RNAcentral lists this ribosomal RNA (484 nucleotides) under uncultured bacterium. RNAcentral's name for it is "partial 16S ribosomal RNA". It matches the Rfam family "Bacterial small subunit ribosomal RNA", at positions 28 to 507 of the family's 1533-position model. The record is from RNAcentral.
GAUGAACGCUGGCGGCGUGCCUAACACAUGCAAGUCGAGCGGACGGACGCUGCUUUUGCUUGGCUGAUGCGAGGGGCGGGCGUGUGAGGCACAUGAGUAUACCUCACCUUUGGGAAUGAGAUAAGCAAGGGAAACCGGAUCUAACAACGGACGAGAUCUUGAAGCUGGGGGUUCGAAAGACAAAGCCGGCUUUGAUGGACCCGGGCGGGAUUUGCUAGCUGGUUGGGUAAGGGCUUACUAAGGCGGCGUUCCGUGGCCGGACUGCGUGGGUGAUCUGCCACACUGGAACUGAGACGCGGUCCAGGCUCCUACGGGAGGCCGCAGUAGGGAAGAGUAGGCAAUGGGCGAAAGCCUGACCCAGCGACGCCGCGUGUGUGAAGAAAGUCUUCGGAUCGUAAAGCUCUUUUAUUGGGGAGAAACAGCUGUAGAAGUAACCGUGCCUUUUUUGACGGUACCUGCUCAAGAAGCACCGGCUAACUACGUG